CGGGGUGAGUAAUGUCUGGGAAACUGCCUGAUGGCGGGGGGUAACUACUGGAAACGGUAGCUAAUACCGCAUAAUGUCUACGGACCAAAGCGGGGGACCUCCGGGCCUCGCGCCAUCAGAUGAACCCAUAUGGGAUUAGCUAGUAGGUGAGGUAACGGCUCACCUAGGCGACGAUCCCUAGCUGGUCUGAGAGGAUGACCAGCCACACUGGAACUGAGACACGGUCCAG
This 229-nucleotide ribosomal RNA is filed under the name uncultured bacterium. Its description in RNAcentral is "partial 16S ribosomal RNA". It matches the Rfam family "Bacterial small subunit ribosomal RNA", at positions 104 to 334 of the family's 1533-position model. The record is from RNAcentral.